Hippocampus zosterae (dwarf seahorse) is the source of this 308-nucleotide long non-coding RNA. RefSeq lists it as uncharacterized. The record is from RefSeq and is a predicted model, not a curated record. NCBI's taxonomy places the organism in Eukaryota, Metazoa, Chordata, Actinopteri, Syngnathiformes, Syngnathidae. The transcript is spliced from 2 exons.
CCCAUGACGACCUCCACACUUUUAGUUCCGGUUUGGAAAAUCGUGUCGCUUCUCUUCACACGCCACAAGAUGGCACCGCCCACAACCCGCAGUGAUGUCUGCAAAGGUCCUGGUCAGUGAAUUGACGACCCCACUCACUGCACACAAGCCUUCUCUGCGUCAGCAUAGAAAAAGGAGUAGUUUAGCGUCCAAAAUAGACUCACAAGAUACAGCCAAAUUAAAUUAAAGACCUAAAUCCGCCAGUCACCUCAUACUCCAAGAGGAUGCACGAAAAUAUGUUGAAGAGCACUCAUGUCGUCCAGAAUCUG